RNAcentral lists this long non-coding RNA (452 nucleotides) under Capra hircus (goat). RNAcentral's name for it is "lncRNA (ENSCHIG00000003640.1)". Lineage: Eukaryota; Metazoa; Chordata; Mammalia; Artiodactyla; Bovidae. The record is from RNAcentral.
CAACAGGAGAGGUCAAGAAGGGCUUCCCAGAGAAAGAGAUUGCUGGUCCGAGAAACACCAUAGGGUGGAGAAGAUAUUGGGCUCCAUCCAAAGUCCAACUCCAGGGAUUUGAAUCUUAGAAGCUGCUGUCAGAUUCUCAGGAGGCUGCCAGCUCAUGCUGUGGUCUGCAUGAUGCCAAGACACCCAUCACAGCUGCCCAGAGACCUGCCCCUGGGCCCACUUUUUCUUCCUCUGCCAGCCAAAUUCACAGCAGUUUAAGAGGCCUCAUCCUCCACCUCUCCCCUGGAAAAUGAAGCAAGGACAGAAUGAGAGCAAGAGGCUGAAGGAACAUGAAAACAUCAGAAAGCAAAUGUAUGUGGCAUGCUAAAUGCUACUAGGAGAGAGGUUUCCCAUUAUUUCUGCUUAUCUUGGUGGAAUCUGUUUUCAUAAUAAAAAAUAUAAUCAAGAAUGAC